Molecule: ribosomal RNA, 839 nt
Filed under: Engystomops petersi (Peters' dwarf frog)
Lineage: Eukaryota; Metazoa; Chordata; Amphibia; Anura; Leptodactylidae
Description: partial large subunit ribosomal RNA
Rfam family: Bacterial large subunit ribosomal RNA
Source: RNAcentral
UACUUCCAUAAUUUUUUAAUACUAUUAUUUACAAUGAACCCUUUAUUUUUACUGAAUAUUUCUAUAAAGUUAUAGAACCUUUUAUGUUGAAACUAGUAACAAGAAGUUAAACUUCUCCUCAAUAUAAGUAUAAGUCGACUAGGAUAAACCAUCGACAAUUAACGCUUAAAUUAAAUGUAUUAACUCCACAAGAAAAACUUACAUUACCCCACGUUAAUCUUACACCAGAACAUUUAAGGAAAGAUUUAAAAAAAAGGAAGGAACUCGGCAAACAUUAACCCCGCCUGUUUACCAAAAACAUCGCCUUCUGAUAUAUUAUAGAAGGUCCAGCCUGCCCAGUGAAUUAAUUUAACGGCCGCGGUAUCCUAACCGUGCGAAGGUAGCGUAAUCACUUGUUCUUUAAAUGAGGACUAGUAUGAAUGGCACCACGAAGGUUAUACUGUCUCCCUUUUUUGAUCAGUUAAACUAAUCUUCACGUGAAGAAGCGUGAAUAAACAUAUAAGACGAGAAGACCCUAUGGAGCUUAAAAUUACACAACAAUUGUUAAAAAAAUCCUAAAUUUUAUAAAUAAUUUUUUACUAAACACCAUGAUUGCUAAUUUUUGGUUGGGGUGACCGCGGAGUAAAAAUUAACCUCCACAAUGAAAGAAAUCAAUAUUCUAAACUAAGAGCUACAACUCAAAGUAUUAAUAUUUUAACAUUCUUUGAUCCAAUAUUUGAUCAACGAACAAAGUUACCCUAGGGAUAACAGCGCAAUCUACUUUGAGAGCUCCUAUCGACAAGUAGGUUUACGACCUCGAUGUUGGAUCAGGGUAUCCUAGUGGUGCAGCCGCUACUAAU